CCUACGGGAGGCAGCAGCCAGGAAUCUUGGGCAAUGGGCGAAAGCCUGACCCAGCAACACCGUGUGGGCGAUGAAGGCCUUCGGGUCGUAAAGCCCUGUUGAUAGGGACGAAGGGCGAAGGGUUAAUAGCCCCUAGCCUGACGGUACCUUUCGAGGAAGCCCCGGCUAACUACGUGCCAGCAGCCGCGGUAAUACGUAGGGGGCGAGCGUUGUCCGGAAUUAUUGGGCGUAAAGAGCGUGUAGGCGGUUCGGUAAGUCUGCCGUGAAAACCUGAGGCUCAACCUCGGGCGUGCGGUGGAUACUGCCGGGCUAGAGGACGGUAGAGGCGAGUGGAAUUCCCGGUGUAGCGGUGAAAUGCGCAGAUAUCGGGAGGAACACCAGUAGCGAAGGCGGCUCGCUGGGCCGUUCCUGAUGCUGAGACGCGAAAGCUAGGGGAGCGAACAGGAUUAGAUACCCUGGUAGUCCACGCCGUAAACGAUGAGUGCUAAGUGUUAGAGGGUUUCCGCCCUUUAGUGCUGCAGCUAACGCAUUAAGCACUCCGCCUGGGGAGUACGGCCGCAAGGCUGAAACUCAAAGGAAUUGACGG
Molecule: ribosomal RNA, 586 nt
Filed under: uncultured bacterium
Lineage: Bacteria
Description: bacterial SSU rRNA
Rfam family: Bacterial small subunit ribosomal RNA
Source: RNAcentral